Long non-coding RNA from Bufo bufo (common toad), 168 nucleotides. RefSeq lists it as uncharacterized. NCBI's taxonomy places the organism in Eukaryota, Metazoa, Chordata, Amphibia, Anura, Bufonidae. The transcript has 3 exons. The record is from RefSeq and is a predicted model, not a curated record.
UUUAUUGUAAACAGAAGACAGAGGGUCGGUCCUUCACACUGAAUGCCUACAUUAGGCUUUAGAGUGAGGAGGCGUGUCUCUCAGUAAUCCAAUCUGAUUGGCUGGCAGGAAGCUGCUGGCUACAGCAAGUUUGUAUGUGACCUGAGGGAAUGCAGUUUUGGCCUCAGA